AGGACGAACGCUGGCGGCGUGCUUAACACAUGCAAGUCGAACGGUGAAGCUUCAGCUUGCUGGAGUGGAUCAGUGGCGAACGGGUGAGUAACACGUGAGCAACCUGCCCCAAACUCUGGAAUAAGCGCUGGAAACGGCGUCUAAUACUGGAUACGAGACGGAAUCGCAUGGUUACCGUUUGGAAAGUUUUUCGUUGGAUGGGCUCGCGGCCUAUCAGCUUGUGUGAGGUAAUGGCUCACCAAGGCGACGACGGGUA
This 256-nucleotide ribosomal RNA is filed under the name uncultured soil bacterium. RNAcentral's name for it is "partial 16S ribosomal RNA". It matches the Rfam family "Bacterial small subunit ribosomal RNA", at positions 26 to 285 of the family's 1533-position model. The record is from RNAcentral.